AGCAUCGGCCGGGGAUCGAACCUGGGUCGCCCGCGUGGCAGGCGAGCAUUCUACCACUGAACCACCGAUGG
Molecule: transfer RNA, 71 nt
Filed under: Cordylochernes scorpioides
Lineage: Eukaryota; Metazoa; Arthropoda; Arachnida; Pseudoscorpiones; Chernetidae
Description: tRNA-Gly
Source: RNAcentral